Molecule: ribosomal RNA, 439 nt
Filed under: uncultured bacterium
Lineage: Bacteria
Description: partial 16S ribosomal RNA
Rfam family: Bacterial small subunit ribosomal RNA
Source: RNAcentral
CUACGGGUUGCAGCAGUGGGGAAUAUUGCACAAUGGAGGAAACUCUGAUGCAGCAACGCCGCGUGGAGGAUGACACUUUUCGGAGCGUAAACUCCUUUUAUAUAGGAAGAAGAUGACGGUACUAUAUGAAUAAGCGCCGGCUAACUCCGUGCCAGCAGCCGCGGUAAUACGGAGGGCGCAAGCGUUACUCGGAAUCACUGGGCGUAAAGAGCGUGUAGGCGGAUUAAAAAGUCAGAAGUGAAAUCCUAUAGCUUAACUAUAGAACUGCUUCUGAAACUCUUAAUCUAGAAUAUGGGAGAGGCAGAUGGAAUGUCUGGUGUAGGGGUAAAAUCCGUAGAGAUCAGAAGGAAUACCGAUUGCGAAGGCGAUCUACUAGAACAUUAUUGACGCUGAGACGCGAAAGCGUGGGGAGCAAACAGGAUUAGAUACCCGCGUAGUC